This 312-nucleotide ribosomal RNA is filed under the name Klebsiella pneumoniae. RNAcentral describes it as "bacterial SSU rRNA". It matches the Rfam family "Bacterial small subunit ribosomal RNA", at positions 1005 to 1319 of the family's 1533-position model. Lineage: Bacteria; Pseudomonadati; Pseudomonadota; Gammaproteobacteria; Enterobacterales; Enterobacteriaceae. The record is from RNAcentral.
GAUGCUUUGGUGCCUUCGGGAACUGUGAGACAGGUGCUGCAUGGCUGUCGUCAGCUCGUGUUGUGAAAUGUUGGGUUAAGUCCCGCAACGAGCGCAACCCUUAUCCUUUGUUGCCAGCGGUCGGCCGGGAACUCAAAGGAGACUGCCAGUGAUAAACUGGAGGAAGGUGGGGAUGACGUCAAGUCAUCAUGCCCUUACGACCAGGCUACACAGCGUGCUACAAUGGCAUAUACAAAGAGAAGCGACCUCGCGAGAGCAAGCGGACCUCAUAAAGUAUGUCGUAGUCCGGAUUGGAGUCUGCAACUCGACUCC